CGGCAAAAGCUCAAAUUUGAAAUCUGGCUGCUUUUUUAGUAGUCCGAGUUGUAAUUUGAAGAAUAGAUCCUUGGAGAGGCGCCUUGUCUAUGUUCCUUGGAACAGGACGUCGCAGAGGGUGAGAAUCCCGUUUGGCGAGGUGUGCUGAUCCGUGUAAGGGCUGUUCGACG
Molecule: ribosomal RNA, 170 nt
Filed under: Phaffomycetaceae sp.
Lineage: Eukaryota; Fungi; Ascomycota; Saccharomycetes; Phaffomycetales; Phaffomycetaceae
Description: partial large subunit ribosomal RNA
Rfam family: Eukaryotic large subunit ribosomal RNA
Source: RNAcentral